GUCUCCCUACGGGGGGCAGCAGUAGGGAAUUUUCGUCAAUGGGCGCAAGCCUGAACGAGCAAUGCCGCGUGAACGAGGAAGGUCUUCGGAUCGUAAAGUUCUGUUGAAGGGGAAAAAGAGCGGAGAGAGGAAAUGGUCUCCGCUUGAUAUUACCCUUCGAGGAAGUCACGGCUAACUACGUGCCAGCAGCCGCGGAAAUACGUAGGUGGCGAGCGUUAUCCGGAAUGAUUGGGUGUAAAGGGUGCGUAGGCGGCCU
This 256-nucleotide ribosomal RNA is filed under the name uncultured bacterium. Its description in RNAcentral is "partial 16S ribosomal RNA". It matches the Rfam family "Bacterial small subunit ribosomal RNA", at positions 333 to 581 of the family's 1533-position model. The record is from RNAcentral.